AAAAUAGACAACAAAGUCCCACGUUUUAGGACAUCCAGAGCAAACGGUAGUUUCUGUUGGAAGAAAACAGCUUUUAUGCUCCAACGUCUCUCGAUUGACAGUCGUGGAUGAGGACGAAUAAACGAUUUGGAUGCAAUAGCCGUUUGAUUUUUGUUUUUGUAAGUCGAUUUCUGCGUUUUAGAUAAUAGUGCCGUUGAUUUCAUUAGCAUAUAUACAGGUUGAGGAGGGUGUGGCGAGCAGAGGAAGGGCAAGAGGACUCAGCUAUUUGCAACAUGAUGCAGGCCAAAUAUCCAAUCAAAAUUAUUUUGGCGUUACCAGGUUCUGCUUUGGGAGCCUGGAUGCGGGUCCGGGUUCGGGUCCAUUCUCAGUGCGGCUCUGGCCAGUCAACAAAGCCAUGGAGUAUUUAGUUUUGUGGUCAAUGAAUAUUGGCUUUGCUGAUGUUUGCUAAUAUUUGUUGAUCUUUGCUCUCAUAAUCCAUAGGACAUAUCAUUACCAAGGCAUAUGAAAGAAACGGGCAGGGCAGUAGCUAUUCUGUGUCCAAAGAAGUGAGGGUUUAUUAAUUUUAAAGUUUUUUAUAGAUUCAUUGAUACCAUCCACUACAUUAUUUAUAUAUAUAGAUAUAUAUUUUAAUA
Molecule: long non-coding RNA, 632 nt
Organism: Cryptomeria japonica (Japanese cedar)
Lineage: Eukaryota; Viridiplantae; Streptophyta; Pinopsida; Cupressales; Cupressaceae
Exons: 3
Source: RefSeq, a predicted model, not a curated record